AGGGUUUGAUCAUGGCUCAGGAUGAACGCUGGCGGCGUGCCUAAUACAUGCAAGUCGAACGAGGCCCUCUUCCUUCGGGAGGAGGUGUCCUAGUGGCGAACGGGUGAGUAACACGUUGGUGACCUACCCCGAAGAGGGGGACAACCCCGGGAAACUGGGGCUAAUACCCCAUGUGAUCCUAAGGAUUAGAUGCCUAAGGAUGAAAUGGAGCAAUUCGCUUCGGGAGGGGCCUGCGGCCUAUCAGCUAGUUGGUGAGGUAAUGGCUCACCAAGGCGACGACGGGUAGGGGACCUGAGAGGGUGACCCCCCACACUGGAACUGAAACACGGACCAGACACCUACGGGUGGCAGCAGUAGGGAAUAUUGCACAAUAGGCGAAAGCCUGAUGCAGCAACGCCGCGUGCGCGAUGAAGGCCUUAGGGUUGUAAAGCGCUUUUCUGGGGGAAGAGAAAGGACGGUACCCCAGGAAUAAGUCUCGGCUAACUACGUGCCAGCAGCCGCGGUAAAACGUAGGAGGCGAGCGUUAUCCGGAUUUACUGGGCGUAAAGCGCGUGCAGGCGGUUUGGUAAGUCGGACGUGAAAGCUCCCGGCUCAACUGGGAGAGGCCGUUCGAAACUACCAGGACUAGAGGGCAGCAGAGGGAGGUGGAAUUCCAGGUGUAGCGGUGAAAUGCGUAGAUAUCUGGAGGAACACCAGUGGCGAAGGCGGCCUCCUGGACUGUCCCUGACGCUAAGACGCGAAAGCUAGGGGAGCGAACGGGAUUAGAAA
RNAcentral lists this ribosomal RNA (768 nucleotides) under uncultured bacterium. RNAcentral describes it as "bacterial SSU rRNA". It matches the Rfam family "Bacterial small subunit ribosomal RNA", at positions 8 to 784 of the family's 1533-position model. The record is from RNAcentral.